GGGUCACGAGCGUUCGCUCGCUCGGGGCUCGCGUCCUUUUAACACAACACACCCCUUUGCAUGUAUCGGAACGCGUCGUUCGCCGUAGUAGCGAAAUAAAAACUUGUACAACUUUCAACAACGGAUCUCUUGGCUCUCGCAUCGAUGAAGAACGCAGCGAAAUGCGAUAAGUAAUGUGAAUUGCAGAAUUCAGUGAAUCAUCGAAUCUUUGAACGCACCUUGCGCCUCUUGGUAUUCCGAGGGGCACGCCUGUUUGAGUAUCGUGAGAUCCUCAACCCGACUUUCCUUUCUUUUGGGAAGAAGGGCUUGGACUUUGGAGGUCUUGCCGGUCCCUUUGUCUGGACCCGGCUCCUCUUGAAUGCAUUAGCGGGAGCUCAUCCGCUCUCUCUCUGCCGGUCGGUGUGAUAACGCUUGAUCUGCGCCGACGGUGUGAGGGGGAGGAAGAAGU
This 448-nucleotide ribosomal RNA is filed under the name Leucogastraceae sp. YM2427. RNAcentral describes it as "eukaryotic LSU rRNA". The stretch from base 110 to 263 matches the Rfam family "5.8S ribosomal RNA". The record is from RNAcentral. Lineage: Eukaryota; Fungi; Basidiomycota; Agaricomycetes; Boletales; Leucogastraceae.